CCCUUAGAUGUUCUGGGCUGCACGCGCGCUACACUGACGAAUGCAACGAGCUUAUAACCUUGGCCGAAAGGUCUGGGUAAUCUCCAAAUUUCGUCGUGAUGGGGAUAGAUUAUUGCAAUUAUUAAUCUUCAACGAGGAAUGCCUAGUAAGCGCAAGUCAUCAGCUUGCGUUGAUUACGUCCCUGCCCUUUGUACACACCGCCCGUCGCUCCUACCGAUUGAAUGGUCCGGUGAAGCGUUCGGACCGUGGCCUUUGGACGGUUCGCCGUCUGUUGGCUGCGGGAAGUUCGUUAAACCUUAUCAUUUAGAGGAAGGAGAANUCGUAACA
This 327-nucleotide ribosomal RNA is filed under the name uncultured eukaryote. Its description in RNAcentral is "partial 18S ribosomal RNA". It matches the Rfam family "Eukaryotic small subunit ribosomal RNA", at positions 1470 to 1796 of the family's 1831-position model. The record is from RNAcentral.